GAUGAACGCUGGCGGCGUGCCUAAUACAUGCAAGUCGAGCGAACGGACGAGAAGCUUGCUUCUCUGAUGUUAGCGGCGGACGGGUGAGUAACACGUGGAUAACCUACCUAUAAGACUGGGAUAACUUCGGGAAACCGGAGCUAAUACCGGAUAAUAUUUUGAACCGCAUGGUUCAAAAGUGAAAGACGGUCUUGCUGUCACUUAUAGAUGGAUCCGCGCUGCAUUAGCUAGUUGGUAAGGUAACGGCUUACCAAGGCAACGAUGCAUAGCCGACCUGAGAGGGGGAUGGGCCAAAGGGAAACUGAGCACGGGGCCAGAAACCGCGGGGAGGCAGGGAGGGGGAAUUUGCCGAAAUGGGGGAAAGCCUGCGGGAGCAACCCCGGGUGGGUGAUGAAGGUUUUGGGAUGGGAAAACUCUGUUAUUAGGGAAAAAAAUAUGUGAAAGUAACGGUGCACAUCUUGACGGGACCUAAUCAAAAAGCCACGGCUAACUACGG
RNAcentral lists this ribosomal RNA (496 nucleotides) under uncultured bacterium. RNAcentral's name for it is "partial 16S ribosomal RNA". It matches the Rfam family "Bacterial small subunit ribosomal RNA", at positions 28 to 506 of the family's 1533-position model. The record is from RNAcentral.